RNAcentral lists this transfer RNA (72 nucleotides) under Camelus bactrianus (Bactrian camel). It matches the Rfam family "tRNA". Rfam says of the family: Transfer RNA (tRNA) molecules are approximately 80 nucleotides in length. Their secondary structure includes four short double-helical elements and three loops (D, anti-codon, and T loops). The record is from Rfam by way of RNAcentral. Lineage: Eukaryota; Metazoa; Chordata; Mammalia; Artiodactyla; Camelidae. RNAcentral also lists the same sequence under 2 other names.
GAGGGUACAGCUCAGUGGUGGAGUGCAUGUUUAGCAUGCAAGAGGUUCUGGGUUCAAUCCCUAGUAUCUCUG